CUAAGGAAUAUAACGGAAACCCACACAUUCAUCUUAUCUUUGUUUAGUUUUGAGAGGUCUAAUCUUCUCAAUCUUUUUAGUCGAAACACCUUGUUCUUUGAAAACUGGAUAAAGUUAAAAAUCGUAAUUUAAGUAAGAAACCAGAAACACACCGAAAUUUUUAAAUAAUAAGUUUUUUAAGGUUCUCAUCGAAAGAUGAGUAUUAAACAUUAACGAUUAACCAUA
This 225-nucleotide unclassified non-coding RNA is filed under the name Carnobacterium alterfunditum. Its description in RNAcentral is "small 16S-23S rRNA intergenic spacer". Lineage: Bacteria; Bacillati; Bacillota; Bacilli; Lactobacillales; Carnobacteriaceae. The record is from RNAcentral.